Molecule: ribosomal RNA, 497 nt
Filed under: uncultured bacterium
Lineage: Bacteria
Description: partial 16S ribosomal RNA
Rfam family: Bacterial small subunit ribosomal RNA
Source: RNAcentral
GAUGAACGCUGGCGGCGUGCCUAACACAUGCAAGUCGAGCGAACGGACGAGAAGCUUGUUUCUUUGAUGUUAGCGGCGGACGGGUGAGUAACACGUGGAUCACCUACUUAUAAUUCUGGGAUAAUUUCGGGAAACCGGAGAUAAUACCAGAUAAUAUUUUGAACCGCAUGGUUCAAAAGUGAAAGUCGGUCUUGCUGUAACUAAUAGCUGGAUCCGCGCUGCAUUAGCUAGUUGGUAGGGUCACGGCAUACCAAGGCAACGAGGCAUAGCCGACCUGAGAGGGUGAUCGGCCACACUGGAACUGAGACACGGUCCAGACUCCUACGGGAGGCAGCAGUAGGGAAUCUUCCGCAAUGGGCGAAAGCCUGACGCAGCAACGCCGCGUGAGUGAUGAAGGUCUUCGGAUCGUAAAACUCUGUUAUUAGGGAAGAACAUAUGUGUAAGUAACUGUGCCCAUCUUGACGGUACCUAAUCAGAAAGCCACGGCUAACUACGUG